CUACACAUCAGAGCAGCAGCGCGCAAUACCACUCCGCACGGGAGUAGUAGACGAAAAAUAACGAUGCGGGGCUCAUUUGAGACGCCGCAUUACGGAAUGAGCGGGUUCCAAACACUCCCGUCGAGUACCCAUUGAAGGGCAAGUCUGGUGCCAGCAGCUGCGGUAACUCCAGCUUCAAUAGCGUAUAUUAAAGUUGUUGCGGUUAAAAAGCUCGUAGUUGGAUCUCAGUCCGGGACGGUCGCUCCGCCCGUUCAAAGGCGGCCAGCUUCCGAUUUCCGCGGACACGAUUGCCGGUCGUCCCCCGAUGAUCUUGACCGGUUGUCAAGGGUGGACCGGCGGGUUUACUUUGAAAAAAUUAGAGUGCUCAGGGCAGGCCUCGACGCCUGGAUAAUGGUGCAUGGAAUAAUGGAAUAGGACCUCGGUUCUAUUUUGUUGGUUUUAAGGGACCGGAGGUAAUGAUUGAGAGGAACGGACGGGGGCAUUCGUAUUGCGGCGCUAGAGGUGAAAUUCUUGGACCGUCGCACGACGAACCACUGCGAAAGCAUUUGCCAAGAAUGUUUCCGUUAAUCAAGAACGAAAGUCAGAGGCUCGAAGGCGAUCAGAUACCGCCCUAGUUCUGACCAUAAACGAUGCCAGCCAGCGAUCCGGCUGCGUUCCUCAAAUGACGCGCCGGGCAGCUUCCGGGAAACCAAAAGCUUUUGGGUUCCGGGGGGAGUAUGGUUGCAAAGCUCAAACUUAAAGGAAUUGACGGAAGCGCACACAAGGAUUGGGGCCUGCGGUUUAAUUUGACUCAACACGGUGCAACUCACCCGGUCCGGACACAGGAAGGAUUGACAGAU
This 839-nucleotide ribosomal RNA is filed under the name Orsinome vethii. Its description in RNAcentral is "SSU rRNA". It matches the Rfam family "Eukaryotic small subunit ribosomal RNA", at positions 412 to 1248 of the family's 1831-position model. Lineage: Eukaryota; Metazoa; Arthropoda; Arachnida; Araneae; Tetragnathidae. The record is from RNAcentral.